AGUGAACGCUGGCGGCAGGCCUAACACAUGCAAGUCGAGCGGCAGCGCGGGGGCAACCCUGGCGGCGAGCGGCGGACGGGUGAGGAAUUCGUCGGAAUCUGCCUUUUUGUGGGGGAUAACGUAGGGAAACUUACGCUAAUACCGCAUACGUCCUACGGGAGAAAGUGGGGGACCGCAAGGCCUCACGCAGAAAGAUGAGCCGACGACCGAUUAGCUAGUUGGUUGGGUAAAGGCCCACCAAGGCGACGAUCGGUAGCUGGUCUGAGAGGAUGAUCAGCCACACUGGAACUGAGACACGGCCCAGACUCCUACGGGAGGCAGCAGUGGGGAAUAUUGGACAAUGGGCGAAAGCCUGAUCCAGCAAUGCCGCGUGUGUGAAGAAGGCCUUCGGGUUGUAAAGCACUGUUGUCCGGAAAGAAAUCCCUGGAGCUAAUCCCUUCGGGGGAUGACGGUACCGGAAGAAUAAGCACCGGCUAACUUCGUG
Molecule: ribosomal RNA, 484 nt
Filed under: uncultured bacterium
Lineage: Bacteria
Description: partial 16S ribosomal RNA
Rfam family: Bacterial small subunit ribosomal RNA
Source: RNAcentral